Molecule: small RNA, 29 nt
Filed under: Bombyx mori (domestic silkworm)
Lineage: Eukaryota; Metazoa; Arthropoda; Insecta; Lepidoptera; Bombycidae
Description: ovarian small RNA-27371
Source: RNAcentral
UCCCUAGAUAUAUCGAGAACAUUCUGGGC